CUGCGAUGCGGGCCGGCAGCACCACGCCGAAGCGGAACAGCAUGGCGAGCUGUACCGGGCCGAAGGCGGCAGGGCACCGUUCGAGCUAAGAAGCUGCAGGAUCCAGUAGCGCAUCUGAUAAUUUAACUCCUGGCUGUUGUCUAAACCUUAAUGUAAAAAGACCUGCAACACAUAUGUACCUUUAAAAAAAAGCUUCUUUAUGUGUCAAACCCUCAUUAUAGACCUGCAAUAAAAACUAUAUUUUCAGUCUUGUGCAAAAUAUUAGCGGUUAAAUUAAUUGUCCAUUUCUUCUCCAUAUUUCACCAUGAUCCGUUUUGUACACACCAGCAUUGGGUGCUGGAUUAAGGUUAAAAAUAGCACGGAGUGACAUGCUCGAGUUCCUGCAGUUUUUAUUGUUGAAUAGUUUUUAUUGAUGAAUACUACCAAACUGUGAAGUGUAGACAGGAUGAUAUGGGUCUUCAUUAGAUCUAAGACCACGCAAACAAGACUAUGUAAGUACCAUAAGGUUUGGCUCCAAGCUCAGAAGUAAAUGGUUCGCUGCGAGCUUUACGUAGUCUAUGGAUUUCUCAUCUCUAAACUGGUGUUUUAUAUAAGAACCAAAGGAUGAAGGGGCAAUAGGGAGCUUACACGUGCUGCUGUGUAGUUGAAUAUUGCAGGAAUUGAAGAAAUACUUUCACUUCUGGGCCAUUGCUUUAAGCCUAAAUUCCUAAGGAAUUAAUGAUAAACCAAUUUCCUUUGAAAAAAGCCUUAUCCUCAUACCGCAUGACCAGCACUCUGUCCCUGCACUCCUCAACACUGUUCUUAAACCUAAAAGCCUUUUCUGUAAGCCAGUCAUCUUUAACAGCCACAAAUGUAAACAGGACGAUUUCCUGGUUUUGCUAUAUUAAGUCCCAUUCCAAUAAGCAUGCCUUUCAGGUCCAAUCAAAAAGCUCUGGCAUAAAGAUGCCCAAACCCUACUAAUUAAAUUGCUUUUAGCUGUCCCAGAAGCUGUUGUUUUCAUUCAUAUGGGAAUAAACUACCAUCUGAGCGCACCAUGGCCCAUCUGAUUCUGGUAAUUGAUAUUGUGCCUUUGUGUCCUUGAUGGCACUAUAGGCUGUAGCAUUAGACUCAGAGCUGCAGCUCUGUGUGCCUCAGUCUUCCUUAAAUCUAA
Coturnix japonica (Japanese quail) is the source of this 1150-nucleotide non-coding RNA. The record is from RefSeq and is a predicted model, not a curated record. Lineage: Eukaryota; Metazoa; Chordata; Aves; Galliformes; Phasianidae.